This 311-nucleotide ribosomal RNA is filed under the name uncultured eukaryote. RNAcentral's name for it is "partial 18S ribosomal RNA". It matches the Rfam family "Eukaryotic small subunit ribosomal RNA", at positions 1470 to 1796 of the family's 1831-position model. The record is from RNAcentral.
CCCUUAGAUGUUCUGGGCUGCACGCGCGCUACACUGGUGCGCUCAACGAGUUUAUGACCUUGCCCGGAAGGGUUGGGUAAUCUUCUUAAAACGCAUCGUGAUGGGGAUAGAUUAUUGCGAUUAUUAAUCUUCAACGAGGAAUUCCUAGUAAGCGCGAGUCAUCAGCUCGUGCUGAUUACGUCCCUGCCCUUUGUACACACCGCCCGUCGCUCCUACCGAUUGAAUGGUUUAGUGAGGCCUUCGGAUCCGCGACUCGUUUUGUGGAGAAGUUGGACAAACUCAGUCAUUUAGAGGAAGUAAAAGUCGUAACA